Molecule: non-coding RNA, 119 nt
Organism: Picea glauca (white spruce)
Lineage: Eukaryota; Viridiplantae; Streptophyta; Pinopsida; Pinales; Pinaceae
Source: Rfam
AGGUGCGAUCAUACCAACAUUAAUGCACUAGAUCCGAUCAGAACUUUGCAGUUAAGAGGGCAUGGGCUAGAGUAGUAUUGGGAUGGGUGACCUCCUGGAAAGUCCUAGGGUUGCACCCU